This 541-nucleotide long non-coding RNA is filed under the name Salmo salar (Atlantic salmon). Its description in RNAcentral is "lncRNA (ENSSSAG00000108661.1)". The record is from RNAcentral. Lineage: Eukaryota; Metazoa; Chordata; Actinopteri; Salmoniformes; Salmonidae.
GCUUUCUUCUCUUCACUCUGUUAUUUAGGUUAUUAUUCUGUACAGGCUUUCUUCUCUUCACUCUGUUAUUUAGGUUAUUAUUCUGUACAGGCUUUCUUCUCUUCACUCUGUUAUUUAGGUUAUUAUUCUGUACAGGCUUUCUUCUCUUCACUCUGUUAUUUAGGUUAUUGUGGAGUAUAGUUGUUUCCUCUUACUUUCUCUGACAGAAUAAUCUCUCCGACAGUGAAUGAGGACCAAACUAAGCUUCAUGUCCAUGGUUUAGGCCUAGUUCUGAAUUCUAAGAGACUAUUGGAGACUUGGCCAAUUUGAUAAUAGUUUGGUUUUAAAAGGUAAAUUAUUUGUUAAUUCCUUUGCUUCAAAAUACUUUUGGAUGAACAACAUUACUGGAAAAACUGGCCCACUGAGAUGAAUGUUCUAGAAACAUUCUCACUGGCUGGGUGGUGGCGUAUGAGUCCUGUUGCUGAUGAGAUGGGGAAGGGACAAUGUCGUGAUUUUUUUUUUUAGGGUGAAGAGAAGGUUCUCCCUUUUAGUGUCACGUGAC